GGAGGAAUAUUGGUCAAUGGCCGGAAGGCUGAACCAGCCAUCCCGCGUGCAGGAUGACGGCCCUAUGGGUUGUAAACUGCUUUUGUACCUGAAGAAACCUGGUUACGUGUAGCCAGUUGCCGGUAAGGUAUGAAUAAGCAUCGGCUAACUCCGUGCCAGCAGCCGCGGUAAUACGGAGGAUGCAAGCGUUAUCCGGAUUCAUUGGGUUUAAAGGGUGCGCAGGUGGGAAAAUAAGUCAGUGGUGAAAUAC
RNAcentral lists this ribosomal RNA (250 nucleotides) under uncultured bacterium. RNAcentral describes it as "partial 16S ribosomal RNA". It matches the Rfam family "Bacterial small subunit ribosomal RNA", at positions 355 to 602 of the family's 1533-position model. The record is from RNAcentral.